Molecule: long non-coding RNA, 1425 nt
Organism: Lolium rigidum
Lineage: Eukaryota; Viridiplantae; Streptophyta; Magnoliopsida; Poales; Poaceae
Exons: 5
Source: RefSeq, a predicted model, not a curated record
AGGCAUCUCUGGUGCUUUCUUGGCUCUGUGAUUCAUGCCAGAUAUACAUAUAAUCAUUUUUAGUUUGACGGUGACUGUGCUUUAGGUUAGUCAAAGGACAUGGAUAUUUUAAAUUAACACGUGAUGUUAAACUAUACUAUAAGGCUUUAAGAUGGUUCUAAUAAAAUUUGUUUAUGAUAAUCUUUUCUUGAUCUGUGAAAUUUCAUCUAUGCUCAAAUGUUUGGUUUUUAUUCUGUUUUUAGUACUUGAAAUCUAGCCGAUUAACUGUUGAGUUCAUAAUAAUUGGAAAGGAGUCGAAUGCUUCGGGUUGACUUUGCAUUGUCACAACAUGGCUUAAAACUAUGCUCUGCUGAUUGGUUGUAUUUUUUGACCUUCAUUCAGUAAUUCCAUGCAAAUUUGAAAGAUCGUUCAAAGGAGACACAACAUUAUCUACCUGCGUGCUCCCUACCAGUGGUGCCCCUUGAAGUAAUACCGGGUUGUCAUGUGCUUCUUCCUUAAGAUUCAGAAUACUGGGAUGUGAUGUAACUUGAAGUUCAGGUUCUAAUAAAUAUUUGCCUUGAUCAAAGCAAAGCAGUUAUGAAGUUGAUACCCAUUUUGUUAGAAUAUCCAGCUUCGGUGAAAGGACCGGAAGCUAACCACAUUCUUUUGGGGCGCCUGUUUGGCUUUGGAUCACUUGCAAGGUCUUGGAGAUUUCAAGAUAGUGGACACGGGUCACAUCUUCCGUUGUUAUGAAGGAUUUUGUUGCUGAAGUUAUACAACUUGGUCGUAGGUGGCUCUAUGGUGUUCUGGUCUUGCGAGCUUGUGGUAGGCCAGUGCAGAAAAGGUGUGCUGCAAUGCCAGCAUGCAGCCGGCGGCCGUCGAGGAAACUCAAGCACACUUGCCUCUUCUACUGUACACCUAGGUUAAUCAUAUAAUUCUUACAUAGAUAUUUCAGAAGCAUAUCACAGGAUUUCUCCGCUUGAACUGGGAAUGAUAAAUCUCCGCAGAUGUAUUUCUUCUUUGUUCCCAUAUAUCGAGUCGUCCAAGAUUGACCUAUUAAUUAGACUUACGGAGUUUUUGAGUAGGUGCACUAUUUUUUUACAGGCCAGCUGUUAAAUGGAGGUUGUCAAAAUUAUAACCAAUGUCAUGAUCCAGGUCAUGUUCCAUGCUCCAGGACAUGCUGAAGAAACUGCAACUGCCCAAUCAAAUAACAGUCAGAGCACAAGAUAUAUGGUUUUGAGUGAAAGGAAAAUACUGAAAAACUAUAGCCAGAAUGGGCUUGUCAUUGAAGAUUAUGCUACCGCUUCUAUGUACAAUAUAUUUCUCUAUUUUUUCUUUACGUCUAUUUAUUACUAAUUACUACUUAUUAUCGGCUUGUAUUGUUUAAUUGAUCUGUGUAAUUUUGUGCUGGUCCCAGUUAUUAAGUCAACUACAUUCUCUUUGUUC